This 301-nucleotide ribosomal RNA is filed under the name uncultured bacterium. Its description in RNAcentral is "partial 16S ribosomal RNA". It matches the Rfam family "Bacterial small subunit ribosomal RNA", at positions 509 to 809 of the family's 1533-position model. The record is from RNAcentral.
CAGCCGCCGCGGUAAUACGUAGGUGGCAAGCGUUGUCCGGAAUUAUUGGGCGUAAAGGGCUCGCAGGCGGUUUCUUAAGUCUGAUGUGAAAGCCCCCGGCUCGACCGGGGAGGGUCAUUGGAAACUGGGAAACUUGAGUGCAGAAGAGGAGAGUGGAAUUCCACGUGUAGCGGUGAAAUGCGUAGAGAUGUGGAGGAACACCAGUGGCGAAGGCGACUCUCUGGUCUGUAACUGACGCUGAGGAGCGAAAGCGUGGGGAGCGAACAGGAUUAGAUACCCGCGUAGUCCCUGUCUCUUAUCA